UUUAUAUAUUUUAAAUCUAGUAAUGAGUGUUUAUUUUUGUUCAUCAGUGAAUGAAAACGGUUUUUAUCCUAAUAUGAAUUCAGCUUAUGAUCCUGAAUUUAUAUUGUUAAAGCAGUCAAUGAUAUUAUUUCAGAGUUAUAACUGACUUAGCAAAGUCACGUUAUUUAUUUAAGCAAGAUGAAAUUAGAUUUUAUCUUUAUUCAAGUCGUGAUUUAUUUCUGACUCGUGAGUUAAUUAAAUCUGCGGAUUUAAUUUAAAUAUUAGAACAACAAACGAAUUAAAUCUACGGAUUUAAUUUAGAUUCAUUUUAUAAUUUAUUGAUUUAAGCGAGAAAUCACAUGUCGAAAUACGAGAUUUAUUUAAAUAAACAGUAUCAAGCAGAUACGAGCACGCGAUCCAUCUUACAGUUACAGAAUCACCGAGACAGAGAAAAUACAUCAAUAAUUCUCCUCUACAUUUUUUUUUCCUUUCUUUUUCUUCUCUUUUUCUUUCCAUUAAUUUUGUUCCCCACUUCAUUUUACCACUAAAUCUACUUUUUGACUUUCACUACCAUUUUCCCCACCACUUUCACCACCAUUUUCUCCACUACUCAAUUAUGCAACAACACAUAUUGUUCCAGCCAUCAAGUCUUUUCUUCCCUCACCAAAACGUGCAGAAGAAGUUGAGAAAGGGAGAGAGAGUUUCCUCCAACUCCAAAUUGUAACUUGAAGAGGUCAAGCACGAGAUUAAUAAUCAGUCAAGGAGCUACUGUACCACAGAAAGUUUCUAACAGGUUGAGCAGCUGCCGUUGUUGAUGAAGUGACGAGCGGGAUUCUUUUGUCUUAUUAUGUAUUAAAGAACUCUAGGGUUACAUGUCUUCAUACAUGUAAUCAGAAUCAUAUUCCGCUGCGUACUCAGAAGUUUUAUGUUUAUUUGGCUAUGUCAGAGAUAUCUGAACUUACUAGUUAUUUGAGUCUAUACGACUAAACUUCUGUUAUAUUAUAAAUAUCCCUUUUGUUAAAUGAUGAAAU
Molecule: long non-coding RNA, 1010 nt
Organism: Salvia miltiorrhiza (redroot sage)
Lineage: Eukaryota; Viridiplantae; Streptophyta; Magnoliopsida; Lamiales; Lamiaceae
Exons: 3
Source: RefSeq, a predicted model, not a curated record